RNAcentral lists this ribosomal RNA (899 nucleotides) under fungal sp. WSM5. RNAcentral's name for it is "eukaryotic LSU rRNA". The stretch from base 551 to 704 matches the Rfam family "5.8S ribosomal RNA". Lineage: Eukaryota; Fungi. The record is from RNAcentral.
AAAGCUACAAGGUCUCCGUUGGUGAACCAGCGGAGGGAUCAUUACUGAGUUAUCAAAAACUCCAACCCUUUGUGAACCUACCUAUGUUUCCUCCGGCGUACCGCUGUAGCCUACCCGCAGGGCUCCCCCUUAGGGGGGUUUUGCUGGGGAGGUGCCUGAGUGCUACCUAUCCUUCGGGGUACGGUUAGUGCAGUGAAGGUGCCGACCAAGGCCUCGGCGGCGCCGAGUAGGACCGCUCCAAACUUAAGCACUUAGUGCAUCCAACCCCGCGUUGAACAACUAUCGAAAAUUUGCUUUUGCUUUUUUUCUUUACGCUAAAACGUCUUUCCCCGGUUGGAAUUAUUGCUCGAAAUGAUAAUUUCCUUACCCUGUAGUCGUUUGUUUUCAAGCUACAAUAUAUCUGCUCGAAUAAAAUUGCUUCAAUAUUUGCUCGAAAAUUGUUCAAAGCUCUGAGGGGUCUGAAUGAAUUCAUAAAAUUGGCAAAAGCCACCUAUAAACUACGGUUUUUAGGGGGUGAUCAAACCAAGGUUUUAAAAACCAAAUACGUUAAAACUUUCAACAACGGAUCUCUUGGUUCUGGCAUCGAUGAAGAACGCAGCGAAAUGCGAUAAGUAAUGUGAAUUGCAGAAUUCAGUGAAUCAUCGAAUCUUUGAACGCACAUUGCGCCCAUUAGUAUUCUAGUGGGCAUGCCUAUUCGAGCGUCAUUAUAACCCUUAAGCCUUGUUGCUUAGCGUUGGGAAUCUACCCCUCACUGAGGGGUAGUUCCUUAAAUGUAGUGGCGGGGUUAUAGCACACUCUAAGCGUAGUAGUUUAACUCGCUUUCAGGGAGGCUGUAGCUGCUUGCCGUAAAACCCCUUAUAACUUAUAGUGGUGACCUCGGAUAGGUAGAUGCCCGCCCC